GCAGGCUGCAACUCGCCUGCAUGAAGUCGGAAUUGCUAGUAAUCGCGGAUCAGCAUGCCGCGGUGAAUACGUUCUUGGGCCUUGUACACACCGCCCGCCACACCAUGGGAGUCGGUAACACCCGAAGUCUGUAGCCUGACGCAAGAGGGCGCAGCCGAAGGUGGGAUUGAUGACUGGGGUGAAGUCGUAACAAGGUAGC
RNAcentral lists this ribosomal RNA (199 nucleotides) under uncultured bacterium. Its description in RNAcentral is "partial 16S ribosomal RNA". It matches the Rfam family "Bacterial small subunit ribosomal RNA", at positions 1300 to 1500 of the family's 1533-position model. The record is from RNAcentral.